RNAcentral lists this ribosomal RNA (546 nucleotides) under Scrippsiella hangoei. Its description in RNAcentral is "partial Bacterial small subunit ribosomal RNA". It matches the Rfam family "Bacterial small subunit ribosomal RNA", at positions 413 to 968 of the family's 1533-position model. Lineage: Eukaryota; Dinophyceae; Peridiniales; Peridiniaceae. The record is from RNAcentral.
GGCCUUCGGGUUGUAAACUCCUUUCGCAACCGACGAAGCUUUUGUGACGGUAGGUUGAGAAGAAGCACCGGCUAACUACGUGCCAGCAGCCGCGGUAAUACGUAGGGUGCAAGCGUUGUCCGGAAUUACUGGGCGUAAAGAGCUCGUAGGUGGUUUGUCGCGUCGUUUGUGGAAUACCGCAGCUUAACUGCGGGGUUGCAGGCGAUACGGGCAUAACUUGAGUGCUGUAGGGGUAACUGGAAUUCCUGGUGUAGCGGUGAAAUGCGCAGAUAUCAGGAGGAACACCGAUGGCGAAGGCAGGUCUCUGGGCUGUAACUGACGCUGAGGAGCGAAAGCAUGGGGAGCGAACAGGAUUAGAUACCCUGGUAGUCCAUGCCGUAAACGUUGGGCACUAGGUGUGGGGGACAUUCCACGUUUUCCGCGCCGUAGCUAACGCAUUAAGUGCCCCGCCUGGGGAGUACGGCCGCAAGGUUAAAACUCAAAUGAAUUGACGGGGGCCCGCACAAGCGGCGGAGCAUGCGGAUUAAUUCGAUGCAACGCGAAGAA